GAUGAACGCUGGCGGCGUGCCUAAUACAUGCAAGUCGAGCGAACAGACGAGGAGCUUGCUCCUUCGACGUUAGCGGCGGACGGGUGAGUAACACGUAGGUAACCUACCUAUAAGACUGGGAUAACUUCGGGAAACCGGCGCUUAUACCGGAUAAUAUUUCGAACCGCAUGGUUCGAUAGUGAAAGAUGGCUUUGCUAUCACUUCUAGCUGGACCUGCGCCGUAUUAGCUAGUUGUUAAGGUAACGGCUUACCAAGGCAACGAUACGUAGCCGACCUGAGAGGGUGAUCGGCCACACUGGAACUGAGACACGGUCCAGACUCCUACGGGAGGCAGCAGUAGGGAAUCUUACGCAAUGGGCGAAAGCCUGACGGAGCAACGCCGCGUGAGUGAUGAAGGUCUUCGGAUCGUAAAACUCGGUUAUUAGGGAAGAACAAACGUGUAAGUAACUGUGCACGUCUUGACGGUACCUAAUCAGAAAGCCACGGCUAACUACGUG
This 497-nucleotide ribosomal RNA is filed under the name uncultured bacterium. Its description in RNAcentral is "partial 16S ribosomal RNA". It matches the Rfam family "Bacterial small subunit ribosomal RNA", at positions 28 to 507 of the family's 1533-position model. The record is from RNAcentral.